GAUGAACGCUGGCGGCGUGCUUAACACAUGCAAGUCGAACGGAGUUGUUUCACUGACGAGACUUCGGUCAAAUCUUGAAACAACUUAGUGGCGGACGGGUGAGUAACGCGUGGGUAACCUGCCAUAUACAGGGGGAUAACACUUAGAAAUAGGUGCUAAUACCGCAUAAGCGCACGGUUCUGCAUGGAACAGUGUGAAAAACUCCGGUGGUAUAUGAUGGACCCGCGUCUGAUUAGCUAGUUGGUGAGGUAACGGCCCACCAAGGCGACGAUCAGUAGCCGGUCUGAGAGGAUGAACGGCCACAUUGGGGACUGAGAUACGGCCCAGACUCCUACGGGAGGCAGCAGUGGGGAAUAUUGGGGCAAUGGGGGAAACCCGUGACCCAGCAACGCCGCGUGA
This 399-nucleotide ribosomal RNA is filed under the name uncultured bacterium. RNAcentral's name for it is "bacterial SSU rRNA". It matches the Rfam family "Bacterial small subunit ribosomal RNA", at positions 28 to 404 of the family's 1533-position model. The record is from RNAcentral.